UGGGGAAUAUUGGACAAUGGGCGCAAGCCUGAUCCAGCCAUGCCGCGUGGGUGAAGAAGGCCUUCGGGUUGUAAAGCCCUUUUGUUGGGAAAGAAAAGCAGUCGGUUAAUACCCGAUUGUUCUGACGGUACCCAAAGAAUAAGCACCGGCUAACUUCGUGCCAGCAGCCGCGGUAAUACGAAGGGUGCAAGCGUUACUCGGAAUUACUGGGCGUAAAGCGUGCGUAGGUGGUUUGUUAAGUCUGAUGUGAAAGCCCUGGGCUCAACCUGGGAAUUGCAUUGGAUACUGGCAGGCUGGAGUGCGGUGGAGGGUAGUGGAAUUCCCGGUGUAGCAGUGAAAUGCGUAGAGAUCGGGAGGAACAUCCGUGGCGAAGGCGACUACCUGGACCAGCACUGACACUGAGGCACGAAAGCGUGGGGAGCAAACAGGAUUAGAUACCCUGGUAGUCCACGCCCUAAACGAUGCGAACUGGAUGUUGGGUUCAAUUAGGAACUCAGUAUCGAAGCUAACGCGUUAAGUUCGCCGCCUGGGGAGUACGGUCGCAAGACUGAAACUCAAAUGAAUUGAC
Molecule: ribosomal RNA, 568 nt
Filed under: uncultured bacterium
Lineage: Bacteria
Description: partial 16S ribosomal RNA
Rfam family: Bacterial small subunit ribosomal RNA
Source: RNAcentral